GAUGAAGAACGUAGCGAAACGCGAAAGGUAAUGCGAAUUGCAGAAUUCAGUGAAUCAUCGAAUCUUUGAACGCACAUUGCACCUCUCGGUAUUCCGGGAGGUAUGCCUGUUCGAGCGUCAUUUGUACCCUCAAGCUCUGCUUGGUGUUGGGUGUUUGUUCCGCCUCUGUGUGUGAACUCGCCUCAAAACAAUUGGCAGCCGGCGUACUUGUUUCGGAGCGCAGCACAUUUUGCGAUCCAGAUCAACGUACAGCGGCAUCCAAGAAGCCUUAUUUAACGCUCUUGACCUCGGAUCAGGUAGGGAUACCCGCUGAACUUAAGCAUAUCAAUAAGCGGAGGA
This 339-nucleotide unclassified non-coding RNA is filed under the name soil metagenome. RNAcentral's name for it is "partial contains 5.8S ribosomal RNA, internal transcribed spacer 2, and large subunit ribosomal RNA". The stretch from base 1 to 120 matches the Rfam family "5.8S ribosomal RNA", at positions 35 to 154 of the family's 154-position model. The record is from RNAcentral.